GAUGAGCGCUAGCUACAGGCUUAACACAUGCAAGUCGAGGUGAAACGAUAGAGAAAGCUUGCUUUUUCUAGGCGUCGACCGGCGCACGGGUGAGUAACGCGUAUCCAACCUGCCCAUCACUUGGGGAUAACCUUGCGAAAGUAAGACUAAUACCCAAUGAUAUCUCUAGAAGACAUCUGAAAGGGGUUAAAGAUUUAUCGGUGAUGGAUGGGGAUGCGUCUGAUUAGCUUGUUGGCGGGGUAACGGCCCACCAAGGCGACGAUCAGUAGGGGUUCUGAGAGGAAGGUCCCCCACAUUGGAACUGAGACACGGUCCAAACUCCUACGGGAGGCAGCAGUGAGGAAUAUUGGUCAAUGGGCGAGAGCCUGAACCAGCCAAGUAGCGUGCAGGAUGACGGCCCUAUGGGUUGUAAACUGCUUUUAUAAGGGAAUAAAGUGAGUCUCGUGAGGCUUUUUGCAUGUACCUUAUGAAUAAGGACCGGCUAAUUCCGUGCCAGCCGCCGCAGUAA
Molecule: ribosomal RNA, 508 nt
Filed under: uncultured bacterium
Lineage: Bacteria
Description: partial 16S ribosomal RNA
Rfam family: Bacterial small subunit ribosomal RNA
Source: RNAcentral